GAAGUCGGCCGGGCAGUCGCUGCAGUAUUGCGGAGGAAAGUCCGGGCUCCACUGGGCAGGGUGCCAGGUAACCCCUGGGCGGCGUGAGCCGACGGAAAGUGCCGCAGAAAACAGACCGCCGAUGGCCAUCUCUGCAUGGCACAGGUAAGGGUGAAAUGGUGCGGUAAGAGCGCACCGCGCGGCUGGUAACAGGCGUGGCACGGUAAACCCCACCCGGAGCAAGACCAAAUAGGGGAGCAGACGCGUGGCCCGCGCGGCUCCCGGGUAGGUCGCUCAAGGUGCAUGGCGACAUGCAUCACAGAUGAAUGGCUGUCCUCGACAGAACCCGGCUUACAGGCCGGCUUCCCUU
RNAcentral lists this RNase P RNA (349 nucleotides) under Spiribacter sp. 2438. Its description in RNAcentral is "Bacterial RNase P class A". It matches the Rfam family "Bacterial RNase P class A". From Rfam's summary of the family: Ribonuclease P (RNase P) is a ubiquitous endoribonuclease, found in archaea, bacteria and eukarya as well as chloroplasts and mitochondria. Lineage: Bacteria; Pseudomonadati; Pseudomonadota; Gammaproteobacteria; Chromatiales; Ectothiorhodospiraceae. The record is from Rfam by way of RNAcentral.